RNAcentral lists this ribosomal RNA (119 nucleotides) under Anolis carolinensis (green anole). The record is from RNAcentral. Lineage: Eukaryota; Metazoa; Chordata; Lepidosauria; Squamata; Anolidae.
GCCUAGUCAAUAAAUCUUCUAAAGACACCUGAUCCCAUCUCAUCUUGGAAGCUAAGCUGGAUCAAGCUUGGUUAGUGCUUGGAUGGGAGACCAUCAACAAAUACCAGGUGCUGUAGGUU